GGGAUCGCAAGACCUUGCGCUUUUAGAGCGGCCGAUGUCUGAUUAGCUAGUUGGUGAGGUAAAGGCUUACCAAGGCUUCGAUCAGUAGCUGGUCUGAGAGGACGACCAGCCACACUGGGACUGAGACACGGCCCAGACUCCUACGGGAGGCAGCAGUGGGGAAUUUUGGACAAUGGGGGAAACCCUGAUCCAGCCAUGCCGCGUGAGUGAAGAAGGCCUUCGGGUUGUAAAGCUCUUUCAGCCGGAACGAAACGGUCACGGCUAAUACCUGUGAUCACUGACGGUACCGGAAGAAGAAGCACCGGCUAACUACGUGCCAGCAGCCGCGGUAAUACGUAGGGUGCGAGCGUUAAUCGGAAUUACUGGGCGUAAAGCGUGCGCAGGCGGU
Molecule: ribosomal RNA, 388 nt
Filed under: uncultured Nitrosospira sp.
Lineage: Bacteria; Pseudomonadati; Pseudomonadota; Betaproteobacteria; Nitrosomonadales; Nitrosomonadaceae
Description: bacterial SSU rRNA
Rfam family: Bacterial small subunit ribosomal RNA
Source: RNAcentral